Molecule: ribosomal RNA, 506 nt
Filed under: uncultured bacterium
Lineage: Bacteria
Description: partial 16S ribosomal RNA
Rfam family: Bacterial small subunit ribosomal RNA
Source: RNAcentral
AUUGAACGCUGGCGGCAGGCCUAACACAUGCAAGUCGAACGGCAGCACAGAAGAGCUUGCUCUUUGGGUGGCGAGUGGCGGACGGGUGAGUAAUGUCUGGGAAACUGCCCGAUGGAGGGGGAUAACUACUGGAAACGGUAGCUAAUACCGCAUAACGUCGCAAGACCAAAGUGGGGGACCUUCGGGCCUCACACCAUCGGAUGUGCCCAGAUGGGAUUAGCUAGUAGGUGGGGUAAUGGCUCACCUAGGCGACGAUCCCUAGCUGGUCUGAGAGGAUGACCAGCCACACUGGAACUGAGACACGGUCCAGACUCCUACGGGAGGCAGCAGUGGGGAAUAUUGCACAAUGGGCGCAAGCCUGAUGCAGCCAUGCCGCGUGUAUGAAGAAGGCCUUCGGGUUGUAAAGUACUUUCAGCGGGGAGGAAGGCGGUGAAGUUAAUAGCUUCACCGAUUGACGUUACCCGCAGAAGAAGCACCGGCUAACUCCGUGCCAGCCGCCGCGGUAA